AGGCAGCUCCGGGGUUCGCGGUUUCACAUCGGAAACAAAACAGCGGCUGGUCUGGAAAGAACCUGAGCUACGAGCGGCGGCGGCGGGGAAGCGCAUACAAAUUUAUUAGCAGGCACACUGGGAGAACCACAAGACCUAAUCUGGGAGCCUGCAAGUGACAACAGCCUUUGAGGUCCUUAGACAGCUUGUUCUGGAGGAGAACACAUGAAAGAGAGAACCUCAAGAGGCUUUGUUUUCUGUGAAACAGUAUUUCUAUACAGUUGCUCCAAUGACAGAGUUACCUGCACCGUUGUCCUACUUCCAGAAUGCACAGAUGUCUGAGGACAACCACCUGAGCAAUACUAGACAAAUUCUCACCAUAUUGGCCAGGCUGAUCUCAAACUCCUGGGGUCAAGUAAUCCCCCCACUUUGGCCUCCCAAAAUACUGAGAUUAUGGGUGUGAGCCAUCAUGCCCAGCUGGCUAGGUAGUUCAUAAUGACAACAGAGAACGGCAGGAGCACAACGACAGGCGGAGCCUUGGCCACCCUGAGCCAUUAUCUAAUGGACGACCCCAGGGUAGCU
This 561-nucleotide small RNA is filed under the name Pongo abelii (Sumatran orangutan). Its description in RNAcentral is "processed transcript". Lineage: Eukaryota; Metazoa; Chordata; Mammalia; Primates; Hominidae. The record is from RNAcentral.